GAUGAAUGCUGGCGGCGUGCCUAAUACAUGCAAGUCGAGCGAACAGAUAAGGAGCUUGCUCCUUUGACGUUAGCGGCGGACGGGUGAGUAACACGUGGGUAACCUACCUAUAAGACUGGGAUAACUUCGGGAAACCGGAGCUAAUACCGGAUAACAUUUGGAACCGCAUGGUUCUAAAGUGAAAGAUGGUUUUGCUAUCACUUAUAGAUGGACCCGCGCCGUAUUAGCUAGUUGGUAAGGUAACGGCUUACCAAGGCGACGAUACGUAGCCGACCUGAGAGGGUGAUCGGCCACACUGGAACUGAGACACGGUCCAGACUCCUACGGGAGGCAGCAGUAGGGAAUCUUCCGCAAUGGGCGAAAGCCUGACGGAGCAACGCCGCGUGAGUGAUGAAGGGUUUCGGCUCGUAAAACUCUGUUAUUAGGGAAGAACAAAUGUGUAAGUAACUGUGCACGUCUUGACGGUACCUAAUCAGAAAGCCACGGCUAACUACGUG
RNAcentral lists this ribosomal RNA (497 nucleotides) under uncultured bacterium. RNAcentral's name for it is "partial 16S ribosomal RNA". It matches the Rfam family "Bacterial small subunit ribosomal RNA", at positions 28 to 507 of the family's 1533-position model. The record is from RNAcentral.